UUGAAACUCAAAGGAAUUGACGGGGGCCCGCACAAGCGGUGGAGUAUGUGGUUUAAUUCGAAGCAACGCGAAGAACCUUACCAGGGCUUGACAUCCCAAGGCCAGAGUUAGAGAUAACUCCUUCCUUCGGGACCUUGGUGACAGGUGGUGCAUGGUUGUCGUCAGCUCGUGUCGUGAGAUGUUGGGUUAAGUCCCGCAACGGGCGCAACCCCUAUUGUUAGUUGCUACGCGAGAGCACUCUAGCGAGACUGCCGUUGACAAAACGGAGGAAGGUGGGGACGACGUCAAAUCAUCAUGCCCCUUAUGUCCUGGGCUACACACGUACUACAAUGGCGGUUAACAGUGGGAGGCAAUACCGCGAGGUGGAGCAAACCCCUAAAAGCCGUCCCAGUUCGGAUUGCAGGCUGCAACCCGCCUGUAUGAAGUUGGAAUCGCUAGUAAUCGCGGAUCAGCAUGCCGCGGUGAAUACGUUCCCGGGCCUUGUACACACCGCCCGUCACACCAUGAGAGUCGGGAACACCC
RNAcentral lists this ribosomal RNA (522 nucleotides) under uncultured Bacillota bacterium. RNAcentral's name for it is "bacterial SSU rRNA". It matches the Rfam family "Bacterial small subunit ribosomal RNA", at positions 894 to 1422 of the family's 1533-position model. The record is from RNAcentral. Lineage: Bacteria; Bacillati; Bacillota.